GGGCUGCCCGCCGCUGUGGCAGGGUUGCUGCUGUUGUUGAACCUGGGUGCCGCCAUGCAGGAUGUGGCCCUGGACGCGCUGGCUGUACAGCUGUUGGAGCCGGCCGAGCUGGGGCCAGGCAACACCGUGCAGGUGGUCGCGUACAAGCUGGGGGCCGCGCUAGCUGGGGGCGCGCUGCUGGCGCUGCUGCCCACCCUCUCGUGGCCGCAACUCUUUCUGCUCCUGGCUGCCACCUACUGGCUGGCCGCGGCCCUGGCCUGGGCUGCACCAGCCCUGCGGCGGCUCCCACAGCAGCCCCCUUGCGAGCAGCGUCCCCACACCGCGCACCUUCUGCGGGACGUGCUAGCCGUGCCGGGGACCCUGUGGACGGCAGGCUUUGUGCUCACCUACAAGCUGGGUGAGCAGGGUGCCAACAGCCUGUUUCCUCUUCUCCUGCUGGACCACGGCGUUUCUGCCCCCGAGUUGGGACUGUGGAAUGGUGUGGGUGCUGUGGUCUGCUCCAUCGCUGGCUCCUUUCUGGGUGGGACCUUGCUGGCCAAGCACUGGUGAGCCCUCCCCCGUGUACCCUGCCCACCCACCUGUACCCGAGCUGCCCCCAAUCCACUAUACUGACCCAUUUCCCACCCCCACCCCAGGGAACUGCUGCCUCUGUUGAGGUCAGUGCUGCAGUUCCGCCUUGGGAGCCUAGCCUGCCAGACUGCCUUGGUCUUCCACCUGGACACCCUGGGGGCCAGCAUGGACCCUGGCACAAUCUUGAGAGGUGAGGGGCUGGCCUUGAGGAGGAAGAGAGGGGCCAGGAGCCUGGGGCACUGCUGACUUCUGCCCUCCCAGGGUCAGCCUUGCUGAGCCUAU
Molecule: small RNA, 852 nt
Filed under: Pongo abelii (Sumatran orangutan)
Lineage: Eukaryota; Metazoa; Chordata; Mammalia; Primates; Hominidae
Description: retained intron
Source: RNAcentral